UCAGGCCUAACACAUGCAAGUCGAGCGAGAAAGCACUUCGGUGUGAGUAGAGCGGCGGACGGGUGAGUAACGCGUGGGAAUCUACCUGGUAGUGGGGGACAACUCGGGGAAACUCGAGCUAAUACCGCAUACGCCCUUCGGGGGAAAGCGGGGGAUCUUCGGACCUCGCGCUAUUGGAUGAGCCUGCGUCGGAUUAGCUUGUUGGUGGGGUAAAAGCCUACCAAGGCGACGAUCCGUAGCUGGUCUGAGAGGAUGAUCAGCCACACUGGGACUGAGACACGGCCCAGACUCCUACGUGAGGCAGCAGUGGGGAAUAUUGCGCAAUGGGGGAAACCCUGACGCAGCCAUGCCGCGUGUGUGAAGAAGGCCCUAGGGUUGUAAAGCACUUUCAAUAGGGAAAAAAGGCGUACGGUUAAUACCCGUGCGAGUUGAUAUUACCUAUACAAGAAGCACCGGCUAACUCCGUGCCAGCAGCCGCGGUAAUACGGAGGGUGCAAGCGUUAAUCGGAAUUACUGGGCGUAAAGCGCGCGUAGGCGGUCUGUUAAGUCAGCUGUGAAAGCCCCGGGCUUAACCUGGGAACUGCAGUUGAUACUGGCAGGCUAGAGUACGAGAGAGGGAGGUAGAAUUCCAUGUGUAGCGGUGAAAUGCGUAGAUAUAUGGAGGAAUACCAGUGGCGAAAGCGGCCUCCUGGCUCGAUAC
Molecule: ribosomal RNA, 700 nt
Filed under: uncultured bacterium
Lineage: Bacteria
Description: bacterial SSU rRNA
Rfam family: Bacterial small subunit ribosomal RNA
Source: RNAcentral